Molecule: ribosomal RNA, 253 nt
Filed under: uncultured bacterium
Lineage: Bacteria
Description: partial 16S ribosomal RNA
Rfam family: Bacterial small subunit ribosomal RNA
Source: RNAcentral
UACGAAGGGGGCUAGCGUUGCUCGGAAUGACUGGGCGUAAAGGGCGCGUAGGCGGCUCAUACAGUCAGGCGUGAAAUUCCUGGGCUCAACCUGGGGACUGCGCUUGAGACGUGUGGGCUUGAGUGGGGAAGAGGGUCGUGGAAUUCCCAGUGUAGAGGUGAAAUUCGUAGAUAUUGGGAAGAACACCGGUGGCGAAGGCGGCGACCUGGUCCUUGACUGACGCUGAGGAGCGAAAGCGUGGGGAGCGAACAGG